Ribosomal RNA from Chelonoidis abingdonii (Abingdon island giant tortoise), 113 nucleotides. The record is from Ensembl. NCBI's taxonomy places the organism in Eukaryota, Metazoa, Chordata, Testudines, Testudinidae.
UCCUGUAGCCAUGCCACCUUGUGUGGGACUGUCAGUUCUCAGAGACUAAGCAGAAUUGGGCCAGAUCAGUAUUUGGAUGACAGAGCAUAAGGAGCAUUCAGGGGCUGCAGGGA